This 3028-nucleotide ribosomal RNA is filed under the name Salmonella enterica subsp. enterica serovar Senftenberg. Its description in RNAcentral is "23S ribosomal RNA". It matches the Rfam family "Bacterial large subunit ribosomal RNA". Lineage: Bacteria; Pseudomonadati; Pseudomonadota; Gammaproteobacteria; Enterobacterales; Enterobacteriaceae. The record is from RNAcentral.
GGGUUGUGAGGUUAAGCGACUAAGCGUACACGGUGGAUGCCCUGGCAGUCAGAGGCGAUGAAGGGCGUGCUAAUCUGCGAUAAGCGCCGGUAAGGUGAUAUGAACCGUUAUAACCGGCGAUACCCGAAUGGGGAAACCCAGUGUGAUUCGUCACACUAUCAUUAACUGAAUCCAUAGGUUAAUGAGGCGAACCGGGGGAACUGAAACAUCUAAGUACCCCGAGGAAAAGAAAUCAACCGAGAUUCCCCCAGUAGCGGCGAGCGAACGGGGAGGAGCCCAGAGCCUGAAUCAGCAUGUGUGUUAGUGGAAGCGUCUGGAAAGGCGUGCGAUACAGGGUGACAGCCCCGUACACAAAAGCGCAUGUGCUGUGAGCUCGAUGAGUAGGGCGGGACACGUGGUAUCCUGUCUGAAUAUGGGGGGACCAUCCUCCAAGGCUAAAUACUCCUGACUGACCGAUAGUGAACCAGUACCGUGAGGGAAAGGCGAAAAGAACCCCGGCGAGGGGAGUGAAAAAGAACCUGAAACCGUGUACGUACAAGCAGUGGGAGCCCCACCACUAAGCCAGUGGUGAACUCCACAUACGCAUCCUUUGCUGAGGAUACGGUUAACGGAGCGAAAGCGACGUUCAACCUCAAAAGAAGCAGAGGGGGCUUAGUGGUGGGGUGACUGCGUACCUUUUGUAUAAUGGGUCAGCGACUUAUAUUCUGUAGCAAGGUUAACCGUAUAGGGGAGCCGAAGGGAAACCGAGUCUUAACCGGGCGUUAAGUUGCAGGGUAUAGACCCGAAACCCGGUGAUCUAGCCAUGGGCAGGUUGAAGGUUGGGUAACACUAACUGGAGGACCGAACCGACUAAUGUUGAAAAAUUAGCGGAUGACCUGUGGCUGGGGGUGAAAGGCCAAUCAAACCGGGAGAUAGCUGGUUCUCCCCGAAAGCUAUUUAGGUAGCGCCUCGUGAACUCAUCUCCGGGGGUAGAGCACUGUUUCGGCUAGGGGGCCAUCCCGGCUUACCAACCCGAUGCAAACUGCGAAUACCGGAGAAUGUUAUCACGGGAGACACACGGCGGGUGCUAACGUCCGUCGUGAAGAGGGAAACAACCCAGACCGCCAGCUAAGGUCCCAAAGUCAUGGUUAAGUGGGAAACGAUGUGGGAAGGCCCAGACAGCCAGGAUGUUGGCUUAGAAGCAGCCAUCAUUUAAAGAAAGCGUAAUAGCUCACUGGUCGAGUCGGCCUGCGCGGAAGAUGUAACGGGGCUAAACCAUGCACCGAAGCUGCGGCAGCGACGCUGAUGCGUUGUUGGGUAGGGGAGCGUUCUGUAAGCCUGCGAAGGUGGCCUGUGAGGGUUGCUGGAGGUAUCAGAAGUGCGAAUGCUGACAUAAGUAACGAUAAAGCGGGUGAAAAGCCCGCUCGCCGGAAGACCAAGGGUUCCUGUCCAACGUUAAUCGGGGCAGGGUGAGUCGACCCCUAAGGCGAGGCCGAAAGGCGUAGUCGAUGGGAAACGGGUUAAUAUUCCCGUACUUGGUGUUACUGCGAAGGGGGGACGGAGAAGGCUAUGUUGGCCGGGCGACGGUUGUCCCGGUUUAAGCGUGUAGGUGUGUGUUCCAGGUAAAUCCGGUUCACUUUAACACUGAGGCGUGACGACGAGGCACUACGGUGCUGAAGCAACAAAUGCCCUGCUUCCAGGAAAAGCCUCUAAGCAUCAGGUAACAUCAAAUCGUACCCCAAACCGACACAGGUGGUCAGGUAGAGAAUACCAAGGCGCUUGAGAGAACUCGGGUGAAGGAACUAGGCAAAAUGGUGCCGUAACUUCGGGAGAAGGCACGCUGACAUGUAGGUGAAGUGAUUUACUCAUGGAGCUGAAGUCAGUCGAAGAUACCAGCUGGCUGCAACUGUUUAUUAAAAACACAGCACUGUGCAAACACGAAAGUGGACGUAUACGGUGUGACGCCUGCCCGGUGCCGGAAGGUUAAUUGAUGGGGUCAGCGCAAGCGAAGCUCCUGAUCGAAGCCCCGGUAAACGGCGGCCGUAACUAUAACGGUCCUAAGGUAGCGAAAUUCCUUGUCGGGUAAGUUCCGACCUGCACGAAUGGCGUAAUGAUGGCCAGGCUGUCUCCACCCGAGACUCAGUGAAAUUGAACUCGCUGUGAAGAUGCAGUGUACCCGCGGCAAGACGGAAAGACCCCGUGAACCUUUACUAUAGCUUGACACUGAACAUUGAGCCUUGAUGUGUAGGAUAGGUGGGAGGCUUUGAAGUGUGGACGCCAGUCUGCAUGGAGCCGACCUUGAAAUACCACCCUUUAAUGUUUGAUGUUCUAACGUGGACCCGUAAUCCGGGUUGCGGACAGUGUCUGGUGGGUAGUUUGACUGGGGCGGUCUCCUCCUAAAGAGUAACGGAGGAGCACGAAGGUUGGCUAAUCCUGGUCGGACAUCAGGAGGUUAGUGCAAUGGCAUAAGCCAGCUUGACUGCGAGCGUGACGGCGCGAGCAGGUGCGAAAGCAGGUCAUAGUGAUCCGGUGGUUCUGAAUGGAAGGGCCAUCGCUCAACGGAUAAAAGGUACUCCGGGGAUAACAGGCUGAUACCGCCCAAGAGUUCAUAUCGACGGCGGUGUUUGGCACCUCGAUGUCGGCUCAUCACAUCCUGGGGCUGAAGUAGGUCCCAAGGGUAUGGCUGUUCGCCAUUUAAAGUGGUACGCGAGCUGGGUUUAGAACGUCGUGAGACAGUUCGGUCCCUAUCUGCCGUGGGCGCUGGAGAACUGAGGGGGGCUGCUCCUAGUACGAGAGGACCGGAGUGGACGCAUCACUGGUGUUCGGGUUGUCAUGCCAAUGGCACUGCCCGGUAGCUAAAUGCGGAAGAGAUAAGUGCUGAAAGCAUCUAAGCACGAAACUUGCCCCGAGAUGAGUUCUCCCUGAGACUUUAGGUCUCCUGAAGGAACGUUGAAGACGACGACGUUGAUAGGCCGGGUGUGUAAGCGCAGCGAUGCGUUGAGCUAACCGGUACUAAUGAACCGUGAGGCUUAACCUUACAACGCCGAAG